Non-coding RNA from Ochotona curzoniae (black-lipped pika), 409 nucleotides. Lineage: Eukaryota; Metazoa; Chordata; Mammalia; Lagomorpha; Ochotonidae. The record is from the annotation of a RefSeq genome assembly.
UCAGUGCCAGACAGGACACAGCAUGGACAUGAGGGCUCCUGCUCAGCUCCUGGGGCUCCUACUGCUCUGGCUCCAAGGUGCCAGAUGUGCCACGGUAACCCAGAGUCCAUCCGUGGUGUCUGCACCUGUGGGAGGCACAGUCACCAUCAAUUGCCAGUCAAGUCAGAGUGUUUACGGCAACAAUGAAUUAUCCUGGUAUCAGCAGAAACCAGGGCAACGUCCAAAGCUCCUGAUCUACAGUGCAUCCACUUUAGAGUCUGGGGUCCCUGACAGGUUCAAGGGCAGUGGAUCUGGGACAUCAUUCACUCUCACCAUCAACUCGGUGCAGGCUGACGAUGCAGGAACCUACUACUGUCAAGGAGCUUAUUUUACUGCUGGUAGUUAUACACACACAGUGACACAAGCCUAA